Molecule: ribosomal RNA, 465 nt
Filed under: uncultured Klebsiella sp.
Lineage: Bacteria; Pseudomonadati; Pseudomonadota; Gammaproteobacteria; Enterobacterales; Enterobacteriaceae
Description: bacterial SSU rRNA
Rfam family: Bacterial small subunit ribosomal RNA
Source: RNAcentral
CCUACGGGAGGCUGCAGUGGGGAAUAUUGCACAAUGGGCGCAAGCCUGAUGCAGCCAUGCCGCGUGUGUGAAGAAGGCCUUCGGGUUGUAAAGCACUUUCAGCGGGGAGGAAGGCGUUAAGGUUAAUAACCUUGGCGAUUGACGUUACCCGCAGAAGAAGCACCGGCUAACUCCGUGCCAGCAGCCGCGGUAAUACGGAGGGUGCAAGCAUUAAUCGGAAUUACUGGGCGUAAAGCGCACGCAGGCGGUCUGUCAAGUCGGAUGUGAAAUCCCCGGGCUCAACCUGGGAACUGCAUUCGAAACUGGCAGGCUAGAGUCUUGUAGAGGGGGGUAGAAUUCCAGGUGUAGCGGUGAAAUGCGUAGAGAUCUGGAGGAAUACCGGUGGCGAAGGCGGCCCCCUGGACAAAGACUGACGCUCAGGUGCGAAAGCGUGGGGAGUGAACAGGAUUAGAUACCCGAGUAGUC